AACAAGGCGUACCUGCGGACCUGCGGAGGGAUCAUUACGAGAGUGUCACCACUCCCAACCCAUUGUUUACCUACCCGUCCACCGUGCUUCGGCAGGCAGCCCUGUGGGACAGAGCCUCGCCCCCUUUCGCGGGGGGUGCCUGCCGCUUGCCAACCAAAACUCUAGCUGUUUUAGUACCAUCUGAGUCUUCCACAAAUGAACAAAACUUUCAGCAAUGGAUCUCAGAUCGGAAGAGCACAC
Molecule: unclassified non-coding RNA, 240 nt
Filed under: soil metagenome
Description: partial contains 5.8S ribosomal RNA, internal transcribed spacer 2, and large subunit ribosomal RNA
Source: RNAcentral